UACGUAGGGGUGCGAGCGUUAAUCGGAAUUACUGGGGCGUAAAAGCGUGCGCAGGCGGUUUUUCCAAGACAGAUGUGAAAAUCCCCCGGGGCUCAACCUGGGGAAUGGCAUUUUGUGACUGGAAGGCUAGAGUGUGUCAGAGGGGGGGGUAGAAUUCCACGUGUAGCAGUGAAAAUGCGUAGAGAUGUGGAGGGAACACCAGUGGCGAAGGCGAGUCCCCUGGGACACUUCCUGACACUGAGGCACGAAAAGCUAGGGGGAGCAAAACAGGG
This 272-nucleotide ribosomal RNA is filed under the name uncultured bacterium. RNAcentral describes it as "partial 16S ribosomal RNA". It matches the Rfam family "Bacterial small subunit ribosomal RNA", at positions 524 to 777 of the family's 1533-position model. The record is from RNAcentral.